Pelobates cultripes (western spadefoot toad) is the source of this 470-nucleotide non-coding RNA. The record is from the annotation of a GenBank genome assembly. NCBI's taxonomy places the organism in Eukaryota, Metazoa, Chordata, Amphibia, Anura, Pelobatidae.
UGGGGGUUACUGAGCAAAGGAUCUUAAUACCCAACACACAGCAAUACACUUACUCUCAAGACAGUUUGCAGCUACUUGCCUGUCUAAUUCCACUCUAUGCCAGCAGCUAUACCCUCCAGAUCUCUGCACAGCAAGGAACAAACCACUACACCACAGAUUGCAAUUUAAAAGAAAAUAAAGCAUAAUCACAUGGUAUAGAAAUUAUAAUGGAUGAUUUCAUAAAUCAGGAGUAAACCACCGAAAACUAAAGCCUUGCUGUGCAUGCAUUGAUCUUGUAUUGGUUGAUUGGCACUCGCUGACACAAGCAGAGCAGAGUGAUGUCAGUAAUGAAAUACUGCCAUUAAACAUUUAAAGAAGAAGAAAUCACUGUGAUCUUAUGAUUGAUCAGAGCUGCACUGUAUGAAGACAGAGUAGAGAUGGAUCUAAGAGAUGGCAUAUGUUGGUUGCUGCUUGCACUUGCCCUAUAUAAG